This 869-nucleotide ribosomal RNA is filed under the name Angustimassarina rosarum. RNAcentral describes it as "partial large subunit ribosomal RNA". It matches the Rfam family "Eukaryotic large subunit ribosomal RNA", at positions 34 to 916 of the family's 3401-position model. The record is from RNAcentral. Lineage: Eukaryota; Fungi; Ascomycota; Dothideomycetes; Pleosporales; Amorosiaceae.
AUAAGCAUAUCAAUAAGCGGAGGAAAAGAAACCAACAGGGAUUGCCCUAGUAACGGCGAGUGAAGCGGCAACAGCUCAAAUUUGAAAUCUGGCCCCCCCACGGGGGUCCGAGUUGUAAUUUGCAGAGGGUGCUUUGGCGUUGGCUGUGGUCUAAGUUCCUUGGAACAGGACGUCGCAGAGGGUGAGAAUCCCGUAUGUGGCCGCCAGUCUUCGCCGUGUAAAGCCCCUUCGACGAGUCGAGUUGUUUGGGAAUGCAGCUCUAAAUGGGAGGUAAAUUUCUUCUAAAGCUAAAUAUCUGCCAGAGACCGAUAGCGCACAAGUAGAGUGAUCGAAAGAUGAAAAGCACUUUGGAAAGAGAGUCAAAAAGCACGUGAAAUUGUUGAAAGGGAAGCGCUUGCAGUUAGACGUGCCUCUAGUUGCUCAGCCGGGCCUUCGGGCCCGGUGCACUCUUCUAUUGGCAGGCCAGCAUCAGUCUGGGCGGUCGGAUAAAGGCCCAUUAAACGUGACUCCCUCCGGGGAGAGCUUAUAGGGUGGGCGACAUGCGACCAGCCCGGACUGAGGUCCGCGCAUCUGCUAGGAUGCUGGCUUAAUAACUGUAAGCGGCCCGUCUUGAAACACGGACCAAGGAGUCUAACAUCUAUGCGAGUGUUUGGGUGUCAAGCCCGGACGCGUAAUGAAAGUGAACGGAGGUGGGAUCCCUUCGGGGUGCACCAUCGACCGAUCCUGAUGUCUUCGGAUGGAUUUGAGUAAGAGCAUAGCUGUUGGGACCCGAAAGAUGGUGAACUAUGCCUGAAUAGGGUGAAGCCAGAGGAAACUCUGGUGGAGGCUCGCAGCGGUUCUGACGUGCAAAUCGAUCGUCAAAUUUGGGC